CAUGCCGUAAACGAUGCAGACUAGGCGUCGGCGGUCUCAACCCCGUCGGUGCCGAAGCUAACGCGAUAAGUCUGCCGCCUGGGGACUACGACCGCAAGGUUAAAACUCAAAGGAAUUGACGGGGGCCUGCACAAGCAGCGGAGCGUGUGGUUUAAUUCGAGGCUACACGAAGAACCUUACCUGGGCUUGACAUACUGGUGAUAGGGAAGUGAAAGCGGACCGACCUUCGGAGCCAGUACAGGUGCUGCAUGGCUGUCGUCAGCUCGUGCCGUGAGGUGUUAGGUUAAGUCCUGUAACGAGCGCAACCCUCGGGCCGAGUUACACGGUGUCUGGUCCGACUGCCCGCGAUAAGCCGG
This 356-nucleotide ribosomal RNA is filed under the name uncultured bacterium. RNAcentral describes it as "bacterial SSU rRNA". It matches the Rfam family "Bacterial small subunit ribosomal RNA", at positions 796 to 1166 of the family's 1533-position model. The record is from RNAcentral.